This 470-nucleotide ribosomal RNA is filed under the name uncultured bacterium. RNAcentral's name for it is "SSU rRNA". It matches the Rfam family "Bacterial small subunit ribosomal RNA", at positions 26 to 518 of the family's 1533-position model. The record is from RNAcentral.
AGAAUGAACGUUGGCGGCGUGGAUUAGGCAUGCAAGUCGCGCGCCCCGCAAGGGGAGCGGCGCAAGGGUGAGUAAGGCGACGGUAACCAACCCCCGGAUGGGCAUAGCCGCGGGAAACUGCGGGUAAUUCCGACGCGAAGGUCCGGAGACUGGCAUCAGUCUUUGACCAAAGUUCCGGCGCCGGGGGACGGGCCGUCGUGGUAUUAGCUAGUUGGCGGGGUGAUGGCCCACCAAGGCGGCGAUGCCUACCGGGCGUGCGAGCGUGGCCCGGCACACUGGGACUGAGACACUGCCCAGACUCUUACGGGAGGCUGCAGUCGAGAAUCUUCGGCAAUGGGCGCAAGCCUGACCGAGCGACGCCGCGUGGAGGACGAAGGCCUUCGGGUUGUAAACUCCUGUCGAGGGGGAGGAAGCCGCAAGGUUGACCGAUCCCUGGAGGAAGCACGGGCUAAGUUCGCGCCAGCAGCCGC